Neotoma lepida (desert woodrat) is the source of this 71-nucleotide transfer RNA. It matches the Rfam family "tRNA". Rfam says of the family: Transfer RNA (tRNA) molecules are approximately 80 nucleotides in length. Their secondary structure includes four short double-helical elements and three loops (D, anti-codon, and T loops). NCBI's taxonomy places the organism in Eukaryota, Metazoa, Chordata, Mammalia, Rodentia, Cricetidae. The record is from Rfam.
AUGUGUGGCUCAGCGGUUCAGAGCACUCUCUGCUCUUCCAAAGGACCUGGGUUCAAUUCCCAGCACCCAUA